ACUCAGAGAGCUUCCUUGUUCCUCAGCUAUAAAAACUCUCCAUCAGGCUGUCAGUGGAGUUCACAGCACCUCACUUUCAACAUCAAGCAUGUUUUCUGGAGCUCUGCUGCUGCUGCUGGCAGCUGGAUGUGUGAAGGCUGAAACUCUGACACAGCCAGCCUCUGUGACUGUGCAGCCAGGUCAGAGUCUGACCAUCACCUGUCAGGUCUCUUAUUCACUUGGAGCCUGGACAGCCUGGAUCAGACAGCCUGCAGGGAAAGGACUGGAGUGGAUUGGGGUGAAAGGCACCGAUGCUUCAUACUACAAAGACUCACUGAGGAACAAGUUCAGCAUAGAUUUGGACACUUCCAGAAGAACAGUGACUCUAAACGGACAGAACAUGCAGCCUGCAGACUCUGCUGUGUAUUUCUGUGCCAGAGUCACACAGUGA
Non-coding RNA from Cheilinus undulatus (humphead wrasse), 430 nucleotides. The record is from the annotation of a RefSeq genome assembly. NCBI's taxonomy places the organism in Eukaryota, Metazoa, Chordata, Actinopteri, Labriformes, Labridae.